RNAcentral lists this ribosomal RNA (497 nucleotides) under uncultured bacterium. RNAcentral describes it as "partial 16S ribosomal RNA". It matches the Rfam family "Bacterial small subunit ribosomal RNA", at positions 28 to 507 of the family's 1533-position model. The record is from RNAcentral.
GAUGAACGCUGGCGGCGUGCCUAAUACAUGCAAGUCGAGCGAACGGACGAGAAGCUUGCUUCUCUGAUGUUAGCGGCGGACGGGUGAGUAACACGUGGAUAACCUACCUAUAAGACUGGGAUAACUUCGGGAAACCGGAGCUAAUACCGGAUAAUAUUUUGAACCGCAUGGUUCAAAAGUGAAAGACGGUCUUGCUGUCACUUAUAGAUGGAUCCGCGCUGCAUUAGCUAGUAGGUAAGGUAACGGCUUACCAAGGCAACGAUGCAUAGCCGACCUGAGAGGGUGAUCGGCCACACUGGAACUGAGACACGGUCCAGACUCCUACGGGAGGCAGCAGUAGGGAAUCUUCCGCAAUGGGCGAAAGCCUGACGGAGCAACGCCGCGUGAGUGAUGAAGGUCUUCGGAUCGUAAAACUCUGUUAUUAGGGAAGAACAUAUGUGUAAGUAACUGUGCACAUCUUGACGGUACCUAAUCAGAAAGCCACGGCUAACUACGUG